Molecule: long non-coding RNA, 1426 nt
Organism: Mya arenaria
Lineage: Eukaryota; Metazoa; Mollusca; Bivalvia; Myida; Myidae
Exons: 6
Source: RefSeq, a predicted model, not a curated record
CAUUGUUUAAGCAUAUAAUUUUACGAAUGUGUACAUCUUUAAUUUAUUACAAUGUAUUCUAAAUUCGGUCAAAUGGAAGGAAAUUAAUCGAAGGAAAAGAAAGCGGAAGUGAAAUUUGACAGUCUGACAUUGAAAAUGUAAACAGAAACAAAAUCCAGCAGAUAUUUUCUUUUUGCAUACUUAUGAUGACUAAAAAAGGAAAUAAGCAAUUUUUCAUCAUCUCACCGCAGCCAACUUUCAAUACAAUUAUUGAUGGAUUUUACGAAUUAAUUUUGAGUUGCAGUGUAACUGUCUUUUUAGCAAUGUUGAAGAUGAAUUUAAAUUUGUAGAUGAACUUUUUUUAGCAAUGUUGAUUUAUGUGCAUAACAAACCAUCUCAUGAGGUUCAGGUCAAGCACCUGCUGUACAUAGAACAACAACCCAUUACAGCUUUGACUAUGCAGAGCAGGUUCUCAGAUAUUUAUCUCAGUGAUAAGGGUUUAGCUAUUAUUUGGCCAAUGGUGUGGUAUCUCAUUUUCAACAUCAUCCAAAUGGAGAAGAAUCUGCAUACCUGCACGUUGACAACUGUGUUGGGCAGAGUAAAAACAAUGCAGUCAUUGGGGUCUGAUGUAUUCUGAAGGGGCUACAUAGAGAAAUAGCAUUAACUUAAAUGGAAGCAGGUGAAAUAAAGUUCAGUCCUGUCUGAGAUUUGGUCUGUGGAAGACCAAAUGGAGGCAGCACACAUCCUUUGUGGAUUGAUGACCUUGGCAAACUGGUUAUAUUCUUUGACUGGUUGGAGUACACCAAGAGACCCCUGAAGUCCAUUCCAAACUUGAGGAAAUAUCAUCACUUCAGAACUUCAGCUGACAACCCAGUGAGUGAAUUCAUGAGAGAGCAUGUCAAGGACAGUGAGAUUGAAGUUAAAAUUGACAAGCCUACAACAAUAGCUUUUCCAUGGAGAGUACCAUGAACGCAUCCAACUAAAAGGACUUGAUGCAAAAAGGCUCUGAUCUCUUAAAUAACUGAAAAAAACAAACUUUUCAGUAUACUGAUAUGUGAUCUUUAUAAACUAAAUCUAAGAUUUGAGAAUGAUCCGUUACUGAGCUGAUGAAAACGUGUAUCAAUUUUUAUUGACAAUUAUUUAUUCAAUAGAAACAUGUUUAUGUGAAAUAAGGCUACCAGUGAUUUCGAGUGAUAAACUGUGGUUUUAGCAAAUGAGUGAUGGAAGGGUGCUGCACCCAGUCUUUUGUUUGUAGAACUCUUCUGCCAUAAUAGAGACCACUAUAUGAUUAUUAAUUAUUAAUACAAACUUAAAAAAAGCUGGCAGUUGAAGCCUAUAAAUGCUUGAGUUAAAGACAUUGAUAAUAUUGUUUGUCAAAAUUAAUAGUUACUUCACAGUCUGUACCUUAGCAACCUUUCAGUUUUUCUUCAAUAUCUUCAUUUUUAAA